RNAcentral lists this ribosomal RNA (253 nucleotides) under uncultured bacterium. Its description in RNAcentral is "partial 16S ribosomal RNA". It matches the Rfam family "Bacterial small subunit ribosomal RNA", at positions 524 to 776 of the family's 1533-position model. The record is from RNAcentral.
UACGUGGGGGGCAAGCGUUGUUCGGAAUUACUGGGCGUAAAGGGCUCGUAGGUGGCCCAUUAAGUCAGACGUGAAAUCCCCAGGCUCAACCUGGGAACUGCGUCUGAUACUGGUUGGCUUGAAUUCGGGAGAGGGAUGCAGAAUUCCAGGUGUAGCGGUGAAAUGCGUAGAUAUCUGGAGGAAUACCGGUGGCGAAGGCGGCAUCCUGGACCAAUAUUGACGCUGAGGAGCGAAAGCCAGGGGAGCAAACGGG